AGAUUUUGUGUGUGCUAUUUUAAAUUUGUCCAAAAACCAAAUCACAUCUUUGCAAAACUCAUCACCAUGAUGCUGGAUGCUUGCUAAGGCAGACACACUGUAACUCAUUUUAAUCACAAACUUUACAAACAUCUAGUUCAGUUAAACAGCUGAUGUGUAAUUUUGUGGCCUUUGCAGUCAGGAUGAGUUCAUCAACUAUUGUUUUGUCUAUUUGUCUUGCUCUUUUUUUAAUUCCCUCGUACUUUUCCACAGGCUGGCGUUUCUAUGGCAACAGUGCUAGAGACCGGACCGGGUUUGAUGGAGCGCUGUCAAACAGUGAAAGAGAGGUCGGAUCGUGUGUGCGUGUGGCCCGUGGGAUUCUGAGGAUUGUGAUGUAUUCGAUCCUUAAAGCUCCAGGAAAUCUCCCAAAAUAACCUCACCUCUAAUCUCUCUCACAAACUCCACGACGGUAGGCCACGCUCACAACCACGGUUUGUGUGAAGUUACUGAUGUAUCGUGAGUCAUAAAGUGGUUUGAAGGCCGAGCCUGCGAUGAAGUCCCCACCGUGGAUCCAAACCAUGACAGGUAGAAGUUUGUGAAGUGGAGCUGUGAAGUUUACGCUCAGUGGAACGAAAACGUUCAGAAACUUUUAUCUUUUCACCUUCUUGGGGCAUUCAUCCGAAAGAGGUCCAGCGCAGGCCUGCAUGCAAGCUGCUCUGGGAUAGGUGCCGUCAUACACCCCUUGCCACGGGGUGACCCUGCGGGGAGGUUUCCAGCGGUACGUAGCCACAGGUGGAUCA
Misgurnus anguillicaudatus (oriental weatherfish) is the source of this 779-nucleotide non-coding RNA. Lineage: Eukaryota; Metazoa; Chordata; Actinopteri; Cypriniformes; Cobitidae. The record is from RefSeq and is a predicted model, not a curated record.